RNAcentral lists this ribosomal RNA (497 nucleotides) under uncultured bacterium. RNAcentral describes it as "partial 16S ribosomal RNA". It matches the Rfam family "Bacterial small subunit ribosomal RNA", at positions 28 to 507 of the family's 1533-position model. The record is from RNAcentral.
GAUGAACGCUGGCGGCGUGCCUAAUACAUGCAAGUCGAGCGAACAGACGAGGAGCUUGCUCCUCUGACGUUAGCGGCGGACGGGUGAGUAACACGUGGAUAACCUACCUAUAAGACUGGGAUAACUUCGGGAAACCGGAGCUAAUACCGGAUAAUAUAUUGAACCGCAUGGUUCAAUAGUGAAAGACGGUUUUGCUGGCACUUAUAGAUGGAUCCGCGCCGCAUUAGCUAGUUGGUAAGGUAACGGCUUACCAAGGCAACGAUGCGUAUCCGACCUGAGAGGGUGGUCGGCCACACUGGAACUGAGCCACGGUCCAGACUCCUACGAGAGGCAGCAGUAGGGAAUCUUCCGCAAUGGGCGAAAGCCUGACGGAGCAACGCCGCGUGAGUGAUGAAGGUCUUCGGAUCGUAAAACUCUGUUAUUAGGGAAGAACAAAUGUGUAAGUAACUAUGCACGUCUUGACGGUACCUAAUCAGAAAGCCACGGCUAACUACGUG